This is a non-coding RNA of Pelobates cultripes (western spadefoot toad), 382 nucleotides long. NCBI's taxonomy places the organism in Eukaryota, Metazoa, Chordata, Amphibia, Anura, Pelobatidae. The record is from the annotation of a GenBank genome assembly.
GUUUGGUCGGUAGGGAUACGCCUAGUGCUUGGGUCUUGGAUGUAUUGAGGGAGUAAUAGGACACCCUCCCAUAUUCCUUUAUCAGUUGCAUAACUGCUGGGAGUGUGGUGUGGAGAUGUGUCAGGUAGAGUAGAAUGUCAUCUGCAAAAGCUCCUACCUUAACCACUUUGUGGCCUAUCUUAACCCCAUGGAUUUCCUCAUUUGCUCUGAUCUCUUCCAACAAAGGUUCCAGGGCCAGGACGUAUAGCAAUGGGGAGAGUGGGCACCCUUGCCUCGUCCCAUUUGUGAUCUGAAAGGGAGAGGAGAGGAAUCCCGACUGGAGCACUUGCGCCGAAGGAUUCGCAUAGAGUGCGAAUAUUUGUCGGCACACCUGGAGCGGGAC